Molecule: long non-coding RNA, 1452 nt
Filed under: Nicotiana benthamiana
Lineage: Eukaryota; Viridiplantae; Streptophyta; Magnoliopsida; Solanales; Solanaceae
Description: long non-coding RNA (NBEN_LNC040664)
Source: RNAcentral
UUGAAAGUAAACUAAAGCUGUUUCAACAUUGUGAUUGUUAGUAUAAGGGAUUUGGUUAGGUUUGGUUAAUCUAGCCUAAGUUAAUUAUGAGACCAGGAGGACCAGGGCCAGGACCAGGACCUGGAUGGGGUCCUCCUCUAGGUCUCGGAGGACCGCCAAUGCCAGGACCUUGUGGCUUCUUUGGUGGUUUAUGUGAUUUUAUUGGUUCUUGGUAAGUCAUUUUGGAACCAAUAUUUUUCUUCUAUAUUUCAGAAUUUUAGAUUUUUUUGAAUCUUUGAGGAGAAAAAAUAAAUAAAAUCUUUGGACUAGAAUGGUUUUGCUUUUUUUUUUUUUUUUGUGGGCGUUUGGACAUAAGAAUGGUAAAAUCCCAAAAAAGUGAAUUUGUUUUCAAGUGAAAAUGGUAUUUAAAAAUUAGAGUUGUGUUUGGACAUGAAUACAAUUUUAGGUUGUUUUUGAAUUUUUAUGAGUGAUCUAAGUGGAAGUUUUGAAAAAUAACUUUUUGGAGUUUUUCAAAUGUUCGAAAAAUUUAUCUUCAAGUGAAAAUUAAAAAUUUUAUGGCCAAAUGCUGAUUUCGAAAAAAAAAACUUAUGUCCAAACAGGCUAAUUUGGAUGUUUUUCUAUAAGUUUGUGUUUCUUGAAUGUUUAAAAGUUACUCACAAAAAUAGCACGGUCUAGCCAGUUUUCGGACUUGUCAUUUAAAAAUAGUCAGCGCUUGCCAAGUCAAUGAAAAAUAGCCACUAUUUUGCUGCAACAGAGACCGUUCCAGCAUAAUAUACUGGAGUUCGAUAUACCUGUGUAUGAACUUCCAGCAUAUUAUAUUGGACCGGUGCUCCAAACUCCAGUAUAUUAUACUAGAGUCUUUUUCCAUAUUUUGAACAUUGAUUCUUUUCAAAUUUAUCUUUACAUGAAAAGGGCUAAUUCGAUUACUUUUGAAACUAUGUCUAUUUUUGAGUGACCACUUGUAAAUCUGGCUAUUUUUUGAAUUUUUCUCACAAAUUCUUCAUGAUGCUUGAGCUUAUUGUUAUUGAAAAUGUUUUCCAUGUUUAAAUUUGAACAGCCUAGGCUUCUUCUGCUGUUGCUGGUUACUGCAAGACUGUUUUAGGGGCCUAACGGGCUUUUACGGGCCUCCAGGACCUUGUGGGCCGCCCCUGCCAUGAUCCAGUUGGUUGAUCCAUGAAGUCUAGAAAGACAUGGUACAUUAUGGGAUGAAGGAUGCUUUUAUUGAUAUUAUAUAAACUACAAAUAGGAUUGUUUACAAAAUAUAUCUUUCAUAUCUCUUUUGUAUCUGGCUUGAAAGCUUAUUUCAAUUUACAAUAUCAUGAUUGUUAAUUAGAAAAUUGUCCCUAUCAUAUUUCCAAUAAUACAGAGUGAUGUAACUAAGAACAAAGAUUUCGAAACUUCGAUUUACGUUUUGUUUUCCAACAUAUAGACUUAUGAAAUUACUCACACAUU